Non-coding RNA from Oryza brachyantha (malo sina), 121 nucleotides. The record is from Rfam. NCBI's taxonomy places the organism in Eukaryota, Viridiplantae, Streptophyta, Magnoliopsida, Poales, Poaceae.
AGCUGCGUUGUGAUCACAAAGCGAACUAUUCGUUCGCCUUCUUCUAAAGAAUACCGUGUGCUCGUCACAUCAAGCAGCAUAGUACCUUUGCUUUUUGAGGGCGCUUUUCCUGAUAGAUCAU